GCCCGGAUGGUCUAGUGGUAUGAUUCGCGCUUAGGGUUCACCCAAGCAUUGAUUGCGCGAGGUCCCCGUCGAUCCCGGGUUCGGGCC
Molecule: transfer RNA, 87 nt
Filed under: Aspergillus steynii IBT 23096
Lineage: Eukaryota; Fungi; Ascomycota; Eurotiomycetes; Eurotiales; Aspergillaceae
Description: tRNA-Pro
Source: RNAcentral